GCCUUCGUGGUGUAGUGGUCAGCACGCUCGGCGCGUAUUCAAGAGGUCCGAGGUUCGAGUCUCGAUGAGGGCA
This 73-nucleotide transfer RNA is filed under the name Stegodyphus mimosarum. It matches the Rfam family "tRNA". From Rfam's summary of the family: Transfer RNA (tRNA) molecules are approximately 80 nucleotides in length. Lineage: Eukaryota; Metazoa; Arthropoda; Arachnida; Araneae; Eresidae. The record is from Rfam by way of RNAcentral.